Molecule: ribosomal RNA, 497 nt
Filed under: uncultured bacterium
Lineage: Bacteria
Description: partial 16S ribosomal RNA
Rfam family: Bacterial small subunit ribosomal RNA
Source: RNAcentral
GACGAACGCUGGCGGCGUGCCUAAUACAUGCAAGUUGAGCGCUGAAGGUUGGUACUUGUACCAACUGGAUGAGCAGCGAACAGGUGAGUAACGCGUGGGGAAUCUGCCUUUGAGCGGGGGACAACAUUUGGAAACGAAUGCUAAUACCGCAUAAAAACUUUAAACACAAGUUUUAAGUUUGAAAGAUGCAAUUGCAUCACUCAAAGAUGAUCCCGCGUUGUAUUAGCUAGUUGGUGAGGUAAAGGCUCACCAAGGCGAUGAUACAUAGCCGACCUGAGAGGGUGAUCGGCCACAUUGGGACUGAGACACGGCCCAAACUCCUACGGGAGGCAGCAGUAGGGAAUCUUCGGCAAUGGACGAAAGUCUGACCGAGCAACGCCGCGUGAGUGAAGAAGGUUUUCGGAUCGUAAAACUCUGUUGGUAGGGGAGAACGUUGGUGAGAGUGGAAAGCUCAUCAAGUGACGGUAACUACCCAGAAAGGGACGGCUAACUACGUG